RNAcentral lists this long non-coding RNA (14001 nucleotides) under Nicotiana benthamiana. RNAcentral's name for it is "long non-coding RNA (NBEN_LNC004444)". Lineage: Eukaryota; Viridiplantae; Streptophyta; Magnoliopsida; Solanales; Solanaceae. The record is from RNAcentral.
CCUUUAUUAAAAUUUAAAAGUCUGUAAUACAUAGAGUAAAAUCUGGGAAUCAAGAAGAAGAAGAAUCUCGGUGCCGCGAACGCCGUCGGUCACCUAACUUAGCUACGAUAGCAAAACCUUCAAUCCGUUACUAACCCGCUACCAGGUGAUCAGUACCUGCAACUGCACGCGAGGUGCGGGGAGUAAAGUGAGUACUUCCAACUUAUUGGUAAUAAGAGAGAAUAAUAUCUGAGCGAUAAGAAAACACGUACGAGCACACCAAACUGCUAUAAAAGACAGAACAACCCUUUUUGAGGAAAACCGAAAUACUGUGAAAAAUUCUUUAGAAAAUAUCAAGAUCAGUUCAAAAUCUUUUUGAAAAUAUGCUUUUUCAACAGUUGCAAGGUAAUUUCAACAAGUAGGAAGUAAUCAGAAACCUGCCCCUCGGGCUCAAUAUCAACCUCUCAGUACAGUAUCAGCCCCACGGGCUCACUCUCAACUCACAAUAUACAACAUCAGCCUCUCGGGUUCACCACUCCUUAUCAUAUAACACCAGGGUAUCUGGUCAUCAAGGCAAGUAACAAUAUCUAUGCCAAUGAUAUAUAAGUGUUAAAUGUCAUGCCACUUAGUACAAGCAUGAGUAAAUGCAUGAAUGGAAUACAAUGCAAUGCAUAUGACCGCUAUAGUGCGUAGCCCGGUCCAUUUGGGUACCCGCGCUUACUGUUGGGGUUCAAACUUCGAAGGGGCUCCUACAACCCAAGCGCAAUAUCAAUAUCACAUUGUUGCGGCGUACAGCCCGAUCCAUGCAAUAUGCUACUGCGACGUGCAGUCAGAUCCGUGCAUGUAUAUGCAUAUGUACACAUAACACUCGAGGCCUGAAGCCUCCUUACAUUAUCUUCAUGCCCUCACGUAUGGCCCUCAGCCUCAAUCAGUCCAAAAUAAGUCAAAAAGCCCCUCGGGCAUCAGUAAAACAAUAAUACUCAGUUCAAAUGAUAAUUCAAAUAUCAGUUAAAUCUCCAAGUUUGAGUAAAAAUAUAGUUGAGUUCAUGAAAUAGUGUAAAUCGCAGGGACUGCGUUAAAAUAAUAUUUCAAAUAGUGAGGAAAACAGUGAUGAUAGCUCAAAAGGAGUUCAAACAAACGGCAAUAAGCCCCAAAGUAUGGCAAUGAGCCCAAGUCAUAAUGAUAACAACAAAUCAUUUGUAAAUACGCGGUGAAAACUAACAACCGGGACAGACCAAGUCACGAUCCCCAACAGUGCUCUACCCCACGCUCAGGUCCAGCGUGCAAGUCACCACAAUACAGUACUAAGAUGUGCAAAUCCGUGGUUUCAAACCCUCAGGAUAUCAUUCCCAAGUAUUACUCACCUCGAACCGGCGAAAUCUCAAGCUCGCAACGCCUUUGCCUUGACAAUCAAACUCCACGGAUGCAAAAUCUGAUCAAAAACAAUAAGAAUACGUCACAAUAGGCUCGCCUUUGCCCCUCAAAUCGGCCUUCACGCGCGUCGAAUCUUGCCAACAACAGAGCGAAUACAUCACAAUAUACAAAUGGGACAAUACCCAAUCGAGAAAAAUUGGAAUAUGACAAGAAUCUCGAAACUAGCAAAACCCGAGCCCUGGGCCCGCUUCUCGAAAAAUUAUGAAACUUACAUUUUCGAAAUAUUCGUCUCGCCACGAGUUCAUACAUACCAAGAACUCCCAAAUCCGAGCUCAAAUGACCUACAAAUUCCAAUUUGAAAUAUCAAAAUUCAAGCCCUAACUUUAGCCCCUUUUUAAUGAAUCAACCAAGUUUCUAUGUUAAUUCUUCCAUAAACUUGAAUAAUUAGGCCAAGGAACUUACCUCCCUUUGUAAUCCUCGUCUCGCCACGAGUUCAUACAUAUCAAGAACUCCCAAAUCCGAGCUCAAAUGACCUAUCAAAUCCCAAUUUGGAAAUGUCAAAAACUCAAGCCCUAGCUUCUUCAAUUUCAUACCCAAUUUCAGAGAAUUAAUGGAUGACUCUUCGAUUAGAUGACAUUUUGAAUGCAUAAGACUUACCUACAAUCGAUCCUCUUCGAAUUCCUCUUCAAUUGUUCUCAAGAAGCUCCGAAAAUGCUCAACAAUGAAAGAAAAUGCAUAACCCUCGCGGAUGAAAAAUGAUAAUUUCACCUUUCUGCCUAGCUCGAUUUCCGCUUUUGCGGUCAUACCUCCGCUUAUGCGGCUCUCGCUUCUGCGUCCUUUCAACCGCUGAUGCGGUCCAACCUUUUCUCCCAGGGAACACUUUUGCGGUGUCACCGCCUAUGCAGUUAUCCUUCCGCAUCCCCGAUCCAGGCGAACUCCCCCAUUGGUCGCUGCUGCGACCCCACGCCCGCUUGUUCUGACUCGCUUAGGCGAAAAGAGUUCCGAUUCUGCGAAACUACCCAGCUCCACAUCUGACCGCUUAUGCGACCAACAUCACGCUUCCGCGGAGCCGCUUCUGCGGUCCAUUUUCCGCAUAAGCGCUCAUACAAGACACCAGCAAGAUCUGCCACUUCUCAACUUAAGAUUUCAUCCCGAAAGCCACAUGAAAUUACCUCGAGGCCCCCGGGACCUCAACCAAAUGUACCAACAUAUCCCAAAACCCAUUAAGAACUUGUUCCAAUCCUCAAAACACACACAACAACACAAAAAUCAUCAAAUUACCACGGAUUCAAGCCUAUUUUUCUUCAAAGCUUCUGAUUUGCACAUUUGAUCAAAAACCCAACAAAACGACGUCCGAAUGACCUGGAAAUUUACAAACAUAUCAAAAAUCACCAAACGAAGCUACUGUAACUCUCAGAAUUCCAUUUCGUCCCUCGGAUCAAAAUCUCACCAAUCAACCGGGAUCCGCCAAAAUUCACACUUCGCCAAUUCAAGCCUAAUUCUACACCGGACCUCCAAAUUCAAUUACGAGUCCUCUCCUAAGUCAAAAAUAAUCUCUGGAAGCUAACCGAAUCAUCGGAAAUCACAUCCGAGCCUUCUAACUCACAAGUCAACUUUCGGUUGACUUUUCCAAAACAAGCUUAAGUCAUAAAUCAUCCCCCAAAACCAGUCGAAUCAUCGGAAAUCCAUUCCGAGCCAUCUAACUCACAAGAGAACUUCUAGUUGACUUUUUCAACUUAAGCUUUCCUUAAAGAGACUAUUUGUCUCAUUUCUAUCCAAAUUCGAUCCGAAACACUUCAAACUCACCAAAUACAUAUAUUAACACAUGAAGAAGCAAUCAAAUGGGAUAAACGGGACGGAGAUACCGGAGACGACGGGUCAGGUCGUCACAUCCUCCCUAACUUAAACAAACGCUCAUCCUCGAGCGUACCCAGGGUUAUACUAAAAGCAACUCAAUAGCUGAAUGACCUUACCAGGCAUAUACUCGGGGUGAUCCCACGUCAUCCUAUCUCACAAAGGUCCGAUAAUACAACAUAGCCGAAAUUUCACCGUCCAUUUAAACCAUAAAUCGCAUUGCACUUUCCGAUGUCAUGCACCAGAUAAGAAUCCCACAUCUUAUACUCAAAAUAAACGUGAACCAACUGUAAUAAUCCAUACCUGCAACCUCGGCUGCAAUCAUAUGAUAUCCCACAACAACCAAUAUCGAUAGAAAAUCUCUUGUUAAAUAGAGUCUCAUUUUUAUACCUUCAUAUACUGCCAACGACAAUAGAAACAAGCGAUAAAUUGAACCCAUCUCUCAGAUCACCCAUUCAUGAGUCCAUUUCCUUUCUGAGUGAUACUACAACAGAUUUCGGAGCCAAACCUCGAUAUUACCUUUCUAACAAGCUGAAAUCAAAUGUGCUCGUACUCAUUAAUGAAUCCAACGAUCAUCUCAACAACAACACACCACUCUGGUGAUAUGACACCUCAACACCGGCCUAAGCUGCAACAUGCUCAACACAGGCACCAAUAAAAAACGAUCUGAACACACUCAAAUCAUGACAACUGACUCAAACGAAAGAGAUAUAAUGCAAAUUCCUCCAUACGAUCACAAUACCGAACUGAGAUCCCAUCUCACAUCAUAGAAAUAGAAUACCUGAAUCCUCCUCGAAAGGUCAUAACUUCAUGUGGCCUUGCCACAACGCUCGAUUCUAUCCAAAAAAUAUUACCCAUGAAGCACCUCAAGUCACCAUGCUCAACACGAUCAUCCACACACCGAUUGAGGUCUGAAACCACGCAAUCGUGGCCUUGCCACAAUACGUGAUUCUAUCCAAACACUAUUACUCAUGAAGCACUACAAGUCACCACGCUCAACACAGACAGUCGCACACAGAUUAAGGUCUGAAACCAAGCGAUCCAUCACACCCACGGUGAAGCAAGUAUUAUACACUGUUCAAUCCUGAAAGGACACGACCGAUGAGCUAUUCGCCGAACAACACCCAAUACGGAUUUUUCCUCGGAAACUAGGAAGUAAUGCAUACAAGGUAACAUAUAGAAAACUAUUCUCCACAUCACACCGUUGCAGCGUGCAAUCUGCUCCAGAUAACAAACCCGUGGCAGCGUGCCACCUGAUCCAGGUACCAUACCCGUGGAAGCGUGCCACCCGAUCCAGGUACCAUACCCGUGGCAGCGUGCCACCCGAUCCACACAUAUAUCUCACAAAAAGAGUUGCACAUUGAGUCAAAUUUGCUCAUUACAUUAAACACAUAUAGCCUCAUGCCCGACAGCAAGAAACGCAUCCGAAAAGUCCUUCAAUACUGGAACUGAAUCAAUGGUAGAAACUUCUGCACUUACAUCCGCCAUGAAGGCCCAAUUAAACAAGCAAUACUUGCCAGCCGUCCGCUGGUCUCUGGAGUACAAGCUACCCUGCUAGAACAUAAUCCGAAGUACCUUUCCACGCAGCCUGUAGCAUUUUCUAACAUAGCCCAUAACACAUUAUUCUAGACAAUCAAUCCCUGGAACAACCAGUCUACCAUAAAAUACCAUGACCCAGAUUUAACAUAACAUGCAAAUAAAGAUCCACGCAGACCUCCAAUUUCCAACAACUGCUAGACGAUGUCGAUACACACGACCCCCAACCACCGCAUGGUCGGAUCACGGGAAUUUCUAGUUCCCAACACAUAUAGCGCAUGAAUCACUAUGCCUGAUCCCACACUCCGCCGUAAAAACACGUAGCACACAUCAAGUAUCCAUUCAUACUAGAAAGAUAUUCAAAAUUUCCACAUGAAUCACUAUGCAUGAUCCCACACUCCGCCGUACGAAUACAUAAAACACAUCAAGUAUCCAUUCAUACCACAAAAGAUAUUCAAGAUUUCCUGCGCCAUCAACAAACUCAAAUAUCCGCAGUCGAUCCAACAAGAAAAUAUCGCAAUACUACUGAAGCGUCAUCAAUUUACAUCACCUUAAUCAUCUGAAAAUUGAUUCUUUACUCACAUGUAGCUGACCGUGCUACUCAAGAAUUUAAUGAUUUCCCAUUAUGAACUGAACCAAAACCUUGAACACGCAAAUCUCAAUUCUCCAUAUCAUAACACAUNNNNNNNNNNNNNNNNNNNNNNNNNNNNNNNNNNNNNNNNNNNNNNNNNNNNNNNNNNNNNNNNNNNNNNNNNNNNNNNNNNNNNNNNNNNNNNNNNNNNNNNNNNNNNNNNNNNNNNNNNNNNNNNNNNNNNNUCAACGCACUCAACUAGUCAAGAACUUUCAUGAUCCCAUAUAGGAGAAAAAUUAUUACACACUCCAUGCUUCGCAUAACCAUAGGAAAUAUACUCAUCUUUAAGUCACGGUAAAACACAUCAAGGACUUUUUCUCCCAAUUCCCUUACACAAGCUAAAUUGCCAGGACUGAGUCUUUCUAUCAAGAUCAAGUUAAGCAAACUGCCAACACUUAAAAGCUUUGCUACACAAUACCUGUAAGGCUCAUUACCUCAAACACAUACAAUAAUUAAUCAUAUCCUUACCAUACCAAUUUGGUUAAUUAUCAAGAUAUUCCAUUUUAUCCUAUUUCCUUCCCGGCUCGUCUUUAAUUUGAUAUUCUCUCUUGUUGUAGCACCACGAUACCUCGACCCAGGUUACCAUACAAGACUCGCACAUAAAAUAACAUUGUCCAAGACCAUAUGCCACGCAAUACCCUCUUGUAGCACCACAAUACCUCGACCCAAGUUACCACACGAGACUCGCACAUAAAAACACACUGUCCAAGACCCAUAGGCCACGAAAUACCCUCUCAAACGUUUCCCAGAAAUGCCACAUUCCAGAAUGCUUUACCUUGAAGAAUUUCCUGCAAUACUGAAUUCGUUUACCAUUACCUUCCAAAUACGGAUACAUAGAAUGCCAUUAUUAACAUAAAAUACCGCAAGUCUUGAUAUUUUCUAAUGAAAACUCAAUCUCUAGCCACAUACGUAGAAUUAAGACACCUGAUUGUUACAUGCAAAAUCUUGAACAUAGUAAAACCAUUCUCGAGCGUCAUUAACUCUUAUUCAGCUGUAAUUCACCUUCCCUAAAUGAACGGAACCACUCGUGCCUUAUUAGUACUCAGACAUACAGAUACAACAACCAUCUUCCUUCACUGCGAUUCUGAAUUCGUUUACCAUUACCUUCCAAAUGCGGAUACGUAGAAUCCCAUUAUUAACACAAAGUACCACAAGUAUUGAUCUUUUCUAAUGAAAACACAGUCUCUAGCCACAUACACAAACUUAAGACACUCGAUUGUUACAUGCAAAAUCUUGAACAUAGUAAAACCAUUCUCGAGAGUCAUUUACUCUUAUUCAGCUGUAAUUCGCCUGCCCUAAAUGAAGGGAACCACUCGUGCCUUAUUAGUACUCAGACACAACAAAACAUAAUUUCAUACAGAUACAACAACCAUCUUCCUUCUUUAUGCACCGAGCAUUCUUUAUAAACAGCAGCUCAAAACAUCCUAGUAUUCCCUCACAUUUCGAAAGAACCAUAUAACCUUUGUAGAAAUUUUUCCUUCACACGUGCCAUUCUCGGCUUAAUGUCUAUAACCAUAACUGAUCUGCCAUCAUACCUCAAACGGAACCAACAUACCACAUAACCAUGCAAUCAGCUGACCAACAGAACCUCCCCGACUUGGCUCGAAGCCAUAUAUCAAGGCACUCUUAACAUUUCAUAGCACUUUUACCUACAACGAUGCCACAAUGUUAUAAUGAGAUUAAACUCAAGUCAUUUACAAGUUUGUGAAUACCCAGAUAAUCUAGCACUGAUAUUCUUUGCAAAUCUCGCAUUCAUUUCCACAUCAACUGAGUCCAUUUUCUUAAACGUCCCCAAAUUCUCAAAUUUCAACACAUACCCUUUAAUUACACAUGAGAUAUUUUACAUACACAUAAGGAUCAUACCGCUCAAAACCCUCCGCAGGAGAUAACCCACCUGCUUCACCUCAUUUCAAUAUCUCCAUAUACCUUCCACCAUCAUAUACGUAAUACACAACCAUAUAGUUUUCCUGAGUCUGAACUCAUACCGCCACAUGUAUUGCACUUCACUUUCCAGCUAGGGGAUAUGAAAAUAUUCUUCACGCGCCCAUGCCUCGGGCUACAUCACAGACCAAAAUAGGAAACAAACACUUAUAGCUCAUCUAUUAUCCAUCAGACUCUUUCGUCACCACCAAGAUCACAUAGAUACCCCUCGCACUACUAACAAUACUCAUCACAUGGAUAUCUAGCCGCCAUUCUGGCUAAUAAGAACAAUACUGAACAUAUAAGUGCAAAAUACUUGCUCACACAAUCGGCACCUCGGUGCUAGAGCCAUAGGCAAAUAUCCAGCCUCAGGUCCUCCAGACUGGCCCAACAUGAACUCACAGAGAUUACCUCUCACCCCUUGAUCGGGGAAUCAUAAGCCAUCAAGGCACAUAUCUACUAAGCGCUCACGUGCGCAUACAGACGUGUGGAAUGAAUUUUCAAGAGUUAUCUCAAACUGAAUCAAGUACGCACGAUAAGAAUUCCAAGAAUGGGAAGUUUUCCCGAAGGUUCUGCAGCCUCUCGAGGAUAAAUACAGACGUCUCCGUACCGAUUCGCAAGACUGUACUAACCCUGCUCGUGACUCGUGAUACCUAGUAACCCAAGCUCUUAUACCAACUUGUCACGACCCCAAUUCCAUACCCAGUCAUGAUGGCCUCUCUCGUGAAGACAAGGCCAUCCAACAACCCCAAAUACUCUUUAGGCAGCAAUUAAACACAAAUGAAUAGGAAUAUUACUUAAUAGCAUUUAACUAUGAAAUUUCAUUCCAAUACAACCCGACAGGUUGGUCAGUUAUAUAACAGCUCGAAUCUGAAUUAAUAAUAUUAAUCAAUAUGAAUAAAACCCAAUAUAGCCUGACCGGGGUGUCACAAGUCACGAGCAUCUAGGAUUGCCUUUAUUAAAAUUAAAAAGUCUACAAUACAUAGAGUAAAAUCUGGGAAUCAAGAAGAAGAAGAAUCUCGAUGCCGCGAACGCCGUCGGUCACCUAACUUAGCUACGAUAGCAAAACCUUCAAUCCGCUAAUAACCCGCUACCGGGUGAUCAGUACAUGCAACUGCACGCGAGGUGCAGGGAGUAAAGUGAGUACUUCCAACUUAUUGGUAAUAAGAGAGAAUAAUGUCUGGGCGAUAAGAAAACACGUACGAGCACACAAAACAGCUAUAAAAGACAGAACAAUCCUUUUUGAGGAAAACCGAAAUACUGUGAAAAAUCCUUUAGAAAAUCUCAAGAUCAGUUCAAAAUCUCUUUGAAAAUAUGAUUUUUCAACAGUUCCAAAGGUAAUUUUAACAAGUAGGAAGUAAUCAGAAACCUGCCCCUCGGGCUCAGUAUUAACCUCUCAGUACAGUAUCAGCCCCGGGGGCUCACUCCCAACUCACAAUAUCCAACAUCAGCCUCUCGGGCUCAGCACUCCAUAACAUAUAACACUAGGGUAUCUAGUCAACAAGGCAAGUAACAGUACGUAUGGCAGUAUUCACCACUCCUUAACAUAUAACACCAGGGUAUCUGGUCAUCAAGGCAAGUAACGGUAUAUAUGCCAAUAAUAUAUGAGUGUUAAAUGUCAUGCCACUUAGUACAAGCACGAGUAAAUGCAUAAAUGGAAUACAAUGCAAUGCAUAUGACCGCUACAGCGCGUAGCCCGAGGGUACUCGCGCUCACUGUGGGGGUUCAGACUCCAGAGGGGCUCCUACAGGCCAAGCGCAAUAUCAAUAUCACAUCGCUGCGACGUGCAUCCCGAUCCAUGCAAUAUGCUACUGCGGCGUGCAGUCCGAUCCAUGCAUGUAUAUGCACACGUACACAUAACACUCGAGGCCUGAAGCCUCCUUACAUCAUCUUCAUGCCCUCACGUGUGGCCCUCAACCUCAAUCAGUCCAAAAAUAGUCAAAAAGCCCCUCGGGCUUUAGUAAAACAAUAAUACUCAGCUCAAAUGAUAGUUCAAAUAUCAGUUAAAACUCCACGUUUGAGUAAAAAUAUAGUUGAGCUCAUGAAACAGUGUAAAUCACAUGGACUAAGUUCAAAUAAUAUUUCAAAUAGGGAGAAAACAGUGAUGAUAGCUCACAAGAGUUCAAACAAUCGGCAAUAAGCUCCAAGUAUGGCAAUGAGCCCAAGUCAUAAUGAUAACAACCAAUCAAUUACAAAUACGCGGUGAAAGCCAACAACCGGGACAGACCAAGUCACAUUCCCCAACGGUGCUCUACCCCACGCUCAGGUCCAGCGUGCAAGUCACCACAAUACAAUACUAAGAUGUGCAAAUCCGGGGUUUCAAACCCUCAGGACAUCAUUCCCAAGUAUUACUCACCUCGAACAGGCGAAAUCUCAAGCUCACGACGCCUUUGCCCAUAAAAUCGGCCACCACGCGCGUCGAAUCUAGCAAAAAACAGAGCGAAUACAUCACAAUAUCCAAAUGGGACAAUACCUAAUCGAAAACAAUUGGAAUAUGACAAGAAUCUCGAAACUAGCAAAACCGGAGCCCUGGGCCCGCUUCUCGAAAAUUCUGAAACUUACAUUUCCGGAAUUCUUGUCUCGCCACGAGUUCAUACAUACCAAGAACUCCCAAAUCCGAGCUGAAAUGACCUAUCAAAUCCCAAUUCAGAAAUGUCAAAAACUCAAGUCCUAGCUUCUUCAAUUUCAUACGCAAAUUCAGAGAAUUAAUGGAUGAUUCCUCGAUUAAAUGACGUUUUGAAUCCAUAAGAUUUACCUCCAAUCGAUCCUCUUCGAAUUCCUCUUCAAUUGUCCUCAAGAAGCUCCGAAAAUGCUCAACAAUGGAAGAAAAUGCAUAACCCUCGCGGAUGAAAAAUGAUAAUUUAACCCUUCUGCCCAGCUCGAUUUCCGCUUCUGCAGUCAUACCUCCGCUUGUGCGGCUCUCGCUUCUGCGUCCUUUCGACCGCUGAUGCAGCCCUACCUUUUCUCCCAGGGGCAGCUCGAUUUCUGCUUCUGCGGUCAUACCUCCGCUUAUGCAGCUCUCGCUUUUACGUCCUUUCGACUGCUGAUGCAGUCCAACCUUUUCUCCCAGCGACCGCUUUUGCGGUCAACUACCGCUUACACGGUCACCGCCUAUGCAGUUAUCCUUCCGCACCCGCGAUCCAGGCCAGUCCCCCAUUGGCCACUUCUGCGAUCCCACGUCCGCAUAUGCGGACUCGCUUAAGCAAAAAAGGUUCCACUUCUGCGGAACUACCCAGCUCCACAUCUGACCACUUAUGCGACCAACAUCACGCUUCCGCGGAGCCGCUUCUGCGGUCCAUUUUCCGCAGAAGCGCUAGACACCAGCAAGAUCUGCCACUUCUCAACUUAAGAUUUCAUCCCGAAAGCCACAUGAAAUUACCCCGAGGCCCCCUGGACCUCAAUCAAAUGUACCAACAUAUCCAAAACCAUAUAAGAACUUGUUCCAAUCCUCAAAAGACACACAACAACACUAAAAUCAUCAAAUUACCACGGAUUCAAGCCUAUUUUUCUUCAAAGCUUUCGAUUUGAACAUUUGAUCAAAAACCCAACCAAACGACGUCCGAAUGACCUGAAACUUUACAAACAUAUCAAAAAUCACCUAGCGAAACUAUUGCAACUCUCGAAAUUCCAUUAGGACUCUCGGAUCAAAAUCUCACAUAUCAACCGGGACUCGCCAAUAUUCAAAUUUCGCCAAUUCAAACAUAAUUCUACACCGUACCUCCAAAUUCAAUUCAGAUCGCUCUCCUAAGUCACAAAUCAUCAGGCUAACCGAAUCAUCGGAAAUCAAUCCGAGCCUUUUAACUCACAAGUCAACUUCCAGAUAACUUUUCCAAAACAAGCUUCCUUACUGAUAUUGAAACAUGAAACAACACAAUAAGGGGGAAACAUAGCAGUAACACAUAAGAUGACGGGUCAGGUCGUCACACCUUGGAGAUACGCCUAAUAUUAUUUAUCUCGGUUUGGGCAAAAUAUUCUUAAGGAAAAUGUCUUUGACACGCCUCAAGCUAAACUUUUAUUCUCCGUAAUCAUCAAUUGUUUCCGACAAUUAGUAGCUAGAUUGCAACUGCCUUUUUGAGUAUUUUUGAGGAAUCUGUCAUUAUUGUUUAGACUUCCAUGUGCCGCCAGUCUUAGGAUGAAGAUCCAUCUGGGCAGAACAAGAUUACUAGUUGAUAAAGUAUGUAUUUAAUAAUCAAUAUGAAAUCUAAAUAAUGAAAUGAUCUCGUUUAAUUUUUUAUUUCUCAAAAUGAUAAAAUAUCGUCUCAAAAUCGAGGAUGUAGGAGUUUACUAGAUUGUGACUUGUGUAUGGAAGAUUAAAGAUUGAAGCAUUUCAACAAACUUGAUAAGAAAGUGAUAGUACAUGCUAAGACCAAACAUUAUUUAAAAGUAGAAGAAAAGAAAAUAGUAUAAUAGAUCCAGUAAAUAUUAGAUUUCAUGAAAGGAUCAAAAAUAUUUCUAGAUAUAAUUUAAAAGGAAAAUCCAAUAUAAAGUUUUUAAUAUAUAAUAUAUAAUAUAUCUAUAUAUGUUAGUUUAGGUCGAAAUUUUCUUGCUCAAUACUGAACCAAACUAAUAUACUCAAUUUUUCUAAUCGAUUUGGAUCAACUUUUCAGUUAUAUUGCACACCCUUAGUCAUAAGCAGGGAUGUAUGUAACGAUCCGCCUGGUCGUUUUAUCUUUUAGAAUUUUGUUCUCUUAAAUAAAAUAUUUCGUGCUUGCUUUACCUAAUUUAUAAUUUGCGGGGACGAUUGGUUCGGGAUUUGAAAGUUUUGAGGGAAAGAUGCCUAUUUGAUUCCUUAGAAUUUUAUUAAAAGAUUAAUUUUAACUUUGAUCAAUAUUUUGAGAAAACAGAUCCGAAUUCGUAAUUUGACGGUCCCGGAGAAUCCGUGAGAAAAUAUGGGACCUGGAUAUAUGUCCGGAAUCAAAUUUCGUGGUCCCUAGCCCGAGUAAUGAAUUUUUAUUAGAAAUUGUUAAUCUGAAGUUUUAAGGAUUUAAAGAAACUAAGUAAUGAUUUAUUUCAUGGGUAUUAGGUGUCACACCCCUUUUUUUUAACAAACCAAACUCUACUUAAAUCCUCUUAAUUAAAUAAAAAAAAUUUAUUUAGCUUGAGAAGGGUUUUUCAAUUUUGAAAGUGACAAAAAUUUGUUUCAAAAGGAAAUAAACUCAGAGUCGCCACCUGACUUUGAUUUCGGUGUGCCAGGUCACCGUUCUUUUUAAAAAUAGUUAUUUUUCCUUUUAAAACAUUUCUGACUCUAAAACCAAGUCCGCACCAGAGAUUCAGGUAAAUGGGUUCAUUUGACUCGGGGAGAAGGUGUUAGGCACUCCCCAAAUUCCGUGAAGGUCACGGUUGCGUACUUGAUCUAGUUGGCUUUUUAAAACAUUUAAAUUGAGGUAAAUUACAAAAAAGCAAAGCAAACACACAUGAAGCUCAAGGUCGUCCCUACCUAAUAAAAGAAAAUAAAACAAAAUGAAAUUAGUCUUGAUAAUAACCUAUAUUACGCCUCCAUUGAUGUUGCCGCGGCCUCCAAAUACAAGUACUUUGGGGCAUUCCCCGGAAUAAAAUAUACACAAGUCCUUCGGACAUUCCCCGGAUAAAUUUAAUUAAGGGAACGACCUCUCGCCUCGAAACUAACAAAAUCCUAAGAUUUGCCUAUCCGAGUGUGAUCGGUCUAAACAUGCUCCUAGCGAGUCAAUGAGCAAAUGCAAAAUAAAAAUAAUAGAAAUCCAAUUGAUUCUAUUUAAUCAAACCCAUACUCAUCCGACAAUGAGUUUCAGUUUUCUCAAAUAAAUACCUUCCAAUAUCAAUUUCCUUCAUUGUGGACACCUAAUUAAGCAUGAAUCAUCUUCUCUCUUUUUUUAACAAAAAAAUGCAUACACCAGCAAUGAGCAUUUGUGAAAUCGUGGCACUACUGAACAAUCAUGUUUUGCUCCAUUAACCCAAGCAACUAAAUCUUGUUUCCAAAUUAAACAAUUUAAAUUCAAGAUAUCAUAAAGGAGAAAGAAAUUCGCAUCAAUCCAUCACCCAAACACUGUAUAAGAUAGAGUCAAUAAAUAUAAGGAAAGGAUAGUAAUGAACCUCAAAUUGAUAGCUUUUCCGAUUACAGUAGCAGUGACGGAACAAGAAUCAAGACCCGAGCUCGACCGGAAAUCCUCGUCGGCAACCUCGACGAACUCAAAUUGAAUCACGGCUCAUUCACAAUCUGAUUCGCUUGGAGCGGUUGGGAAACGAUGGCGGGCUGCUAGUUCCUCUCGUUCGCUGCCUCUGUUUUUCCCAUGUUCUCGAUUGUGCGUGCGUGUGUGGCAAAUGACUAUGAGGGUCUCGAUUUUCUGUCAAGCCAAAGGGUUGAAAUGGCUAUAGAGAAUGUUUUAUUUGUGUUUGUUUGGUUCCGAAAGCUAGUUUGGAGAUCAGUCCUUUUUUUUCGUAAAAAAUGAGGUCUGCCGUCUCUUUGUUGUUUAGGAUAUUAAAAUGUUUGGCUCUUUCGUCGGUUUUCUUAGAAGUGUUGGCUCAUUUUUUGGUGAAAUUCCUGAAGAAGAAAUCAAUGGCUGCCUUAGUAUAUACGGCUCUUCGGUUUUUUGUGUCUUAAGGUUCAAAAAUGAAGAAGAAGACCUUGUCUCUUUACGUCUUACUAGGGUUUAUCUUUUUAGGAUUGGGCUCAAAAUCUUGUGGCCUAUUUUGAAUUGGACCAAAUUUGGAUAAGAAAAGCUUAACAAGCC